UUAAAUUCUAAGAUAAAUUUAAUCGCCUCAAAUCUUCUGCAAAUAUUUCUAAAUAUCAGACAGAUAUACACAUGAGAUCUCUGAUGCUGCACCACAAAUGUCUUGAAAGUCUUGUUCUGGAUAUAUUCUUGUUUCUGUUUGUUUUUAAAUGCAUGUAUAUGAAGGGUGAUCCUCUUACAGAACGUUUUUGAAGCGCUUGCCUCUCUAGUUAGAGAACACUUAUCAAGAACAGCUGCCGUAGUGCUGUGGAUCCUAUCCAUGGACUCAUGGUGGUCUGCUGAACAACGUUCUUCAAGUUUGACAGGUGAGACAGAGACUCUCCAGUGCCACUGCUUUUGGAUGAAUCUAGCUGUGGUUGGAGAAAGUGCAUCUUGCCAAAAUAUAUGGUGAAGGAGUACUGAAGGUGGAGAUGGAGGUGGAGAAGGAGUACUGAAGGUGGAGAGGAGAAAUGAAGAUACUGGAACAGGAUGAAGAAUCAGAAGAUGCGGCCCUUUCCCUGGGGACAGCAAACAUAGGAGAAAAUUGCCCUCUGGUCUCCAAGGCCAUGUGAGCCCCAGUUUGCUCUGAAAUAGCAAACUGUUCAGAAGUGCCCAGCUGUGCUCAGUGUGGUGUUGAGCUCCUUUGGAGGGAAUUGGUCUGUCUAUGCAUAGCACUUAAAAUGGCCUGUGGAGGUGUGCCUGAAGAAUUCUAGAACCUGGGGGAUGUUGGAAAGAUUAUGGGAGAUGUUUGUAUGAGAUUUCCAAUGCCUGGUGUGUUGUGUCGUGAAGAGUUGGUUGAUUUUUCACUUCAGGAGGAGAAAGCAAUCAGCAUUUACAGUCUGUUCAGUGUUGGCCAGAUAAGCAGGUGUCAGUUCGUUUUAAUACACAUUUUUUGUCAUGCCCUCAGUAACAGACUGCUUUGUAACUGAAGGGUGGUAAUGGAGAAGAAAAAUAAAAAUGAAUUGCAAUCAUUCCUUCCACUCAUACCUCUUCCUCCUCUGACCUUCCAACCUCAAAAGCGAGGAAGCUGGGCUGUUUUUAGAGAGACCCUGUGGUUUGGUUGCCAGAAUCCAGACCUGUAGCUUGUAAGAUAAAUAAUGCAAGCUUUGAGGAAAUAUUCUGUGUGGAUAGGAUAGUAUAUGUGUUGCUUGUUAAUACUUAGCUAUUUUAUUACUUUAACCAUUUAUUUCUGUUCUCUUUAGAUGGAUAAUUAAUAAUUUGGUUUUAGAAGAUAAAUCACUGCCUAUAUUUGUUGGCUACAUGAGGGAAGUGUCUAGGAAGCAAUCAAAGGAAUCACUUCUAUGGAAUAUUGACUUUUGGAUAAACAGGGUUGUUUUAACAUGGAGACCCAGCCCAUAAUGAAAGUAAAUUGUUACAUUUCCAUUUCAGAACACAGGUUCUGGGUCUCCUGCUUGGCUGUAUUUAGUCUGAGGGGUCAGAGGCGCUAAGCAGAAUAAAUCCUGUUUUGGCACAAAAUGAUGCAGAUGGACUGGGUAUUGCCUAUUUGAGGAUAAGUUGUAGGUAUGAAUGGGCAACUCAGUUCUUUUUGGAGCUGAAUGGCCAAACUCCGUUGGUGAGUGGAAUAGGAGCAUGUUGGAACAGGAGCACUAAAACCCAGUGUUUUUGGAAAAUUCUGCCAUGUAGUCACAAGUCAAUCCAGCCUGAAAAAGAGGUAGUGUUUGCUUGUAUUUUCUAAAUUCUCCCUUGUAAUCAUUCUGCUUUUGGAGCAGUGUUUCAGUUGUUCCAGGCCUAAAAAGACUCUGGAAUCAAGGUUAUUACUGUCUGAAGAUUAGUUCAAGAAGCAAAGCAAUCUCUCUUUCAUGUACCUGCCUAUCGCACAUCGUGUUAAUUGGUUAAUAUUUGCAUUUUAAAGAAAUCUUUAUUUGAGGCGUAUGGGAUCUGCAUUCUAGAUUAUUUCCAAUAAAACGUACUUUGUACUAAAAUCUAUUAGAUGAGGUUGGCUGCAUGAGUUCUGUCCUCUGUGACACUUGUCUCCUCUGGAUUCCAUAGUCUGUAAUUGUGAUGCCAGAGCAGCUCCUUGUAGCCAGACUCUUGGUGUAUUUUGGGAACCCAUGGGGAUGUAAGGCUUGAGGCUACCAGACUGUUUCUUAAGCUCAAGCAGUGCUCUGGGCAGUUGCUGCUUUGCCAAAACCAAUGCUGAAGGAAAUGUGGCUUUUCAUGAGCCAGAGUUGAUUCCCAUGACAUGGGCUUGGGUGUUGGGCCCUCAGAAAUAACUGUAAUCUCUGAAAGGUGUAAACUGUAAAACAUCUGUCUUUCAUAGUUUGUGCCUCUAUAUCUACAUAGUAGAGUAUGUCUAAUUUUAAGAACAAACUUUCAUAAUUGGAAUUUGGGAGUACCACACAAUAUUCAAUUUAUUUUGUCAUCAUUAUUCUGCUCAUUUGGUAAAAUUACUGAUUUCUCUUUCUUAAAAAUCUUUUAAAUCACUUUUUAAAUUUUUUAAAAAAUUUUUAUUUCUUUUUUUAAAUGAACAUCUAAAUGUUUUGUUGCUUUUUAACUCCAGGUAGUUGUGCCCAGUGUGAGUUUGAAGCAGCUUUGCAGCUGAAUGUUUAUAUUUCACUUUUGGGAAAAAUUAUACCAGUCUGUUCAGAAAUGGAGUAUUUGCAGUAGUAAGUGGCAUCCUUACAAACUAAACAUAAUGAUCAAAGAGCUGAAGAAAUAACAAAUUUAGUUGUCUUUUGGACAAAAUUACAAUGGAAUAGCCUUUGGUUUGUCAUUUAGCUUCAGCAUGAUUUAUUUUUCUUCUCUUUUAAUUGAAGAACAAAUCCAAUUCAUAACUGAAUGCAAUUCAAUCUUCUCAUUUUCUGAUGUGGGUAGAAAAUAUCUGUUUUAUCUGUGCAUAGAAGCUACAGUAAUUCAAGCUUUAUUUUUCCUUUUGAAUAACUGAAAUAAACUUAAAGAGCCAGA
Molecule: long non-coding RNA, 2903 nt
Organism: Passer domesticus (house sparrow)
Lineage: Eukaryota; Metazoa; Chordata; Aves; Passeriformes; Passeridae
Exons: 2
Source: RefSeq, a predicted model, not a curated record